UAUAAUCAGACAAAAAACCACAUAUACAAACACAAAGCCAGACAGAAGCAUGAAUUGAAUUAAUGAAUGGACUGUGUACAGAGCAGAGAUGAAACUGAUACAUGUGAGACUCACCACACAUUGGCAUUAAUACAUAGGUUAAUAUUAAUGCAAGAAAUAACCAUGACAGUGUGGUGGACAGAUUUACAUGGAGAGAGGAAGAAGAGGAGUUUCCGGCGGAAGUAGAAUGACUCCUCUUCUCUCUCAGAGCUGUUAGUUUGUUGUGCAUGCUGAAGUGAGUCUGUGGCUGCUGCAGCUGAAGAUCAGAGGCUGAAGAAAAGACUCUUGUCGGUGAAUCAUGUGUAAAAUGCAGGUGGUGAGGACGCUGGUCGCAGAGAGACUGGCUGCAGCUGCGGAGGAGAUAUUUACUGUUGUGGAGAGGAAGAUGCUGCACACGUCAGAAAUGUUACCUGAGCAGUUGAGGACAGUUGUACAGAAGCGACUGUCAGCUGUUGCUGAUGAGAUCUGUAGGAUCCUGGAGAUAAUGUUAGGUGAACAUGAAGCAGAGGACAUCGAGCAGCAAUGCCAGCUGCUGGACAUCACGACAGGGCCACAGUGCUGAAUCCUGGGAGCUGAUCAGGAAGAAAAUCAAAACCCAUCUAAUGAGAGCUCACCAGCUGGUUUCAUCUCUGCUCACCACCAACUAACCUGUCAGACCAAGAAUCUCCUCAUUCAUUUGCUAAGUGAUUGAGCUAUUUAUUUAUUUAUUGCUUAGUUAUGUACUGCCUUGUUUGUUUACUCAUGUAUUUAUUUUUUGGAGUUAACUAAAACAGAUUUAUUUAUUUAUUGAGGUAUUUAUUUAUUCAUUAAUAUAUUUUUUAUUGAGUUGUUUUUCUAUUUAUCAGUUGAUCUGUUGAAUGUUUAUUUUUUAAGUUGAUCAAUGUGCUUAUUUAUUUUUUUUAAUGUGUGCUGAGAAAAUUUGAUUUUUUUUCAUGCUAUAACCAAUAAAAUCUGUUCUUCUACCAGCAAAUAUAAAAAUGUUUUUUGUUUUUAUUCCUGUUGCAUCAACAAAAAGCAUGCAAUAUUUUAUGUAUUUUUUAAACUUAUUUUUUUUAAUCUAUUUUUACAGUUGCUAACAUGCAUUUCUCAAUACUGAGUUCACUUCUUCAAAACUCAUCACACAGUAUGCACAUGCAAGUUCCUCUGCUGCCUCAAAACAACAUUCUGUAACUAUUUCUUCCACACAUAGGCUGUAAAUUCAACUGUAUUUUACUGACAAACAGUAACAUUAACAUAUAGAAAUAACAGAAAAAUGAGAAUUGAUUAUCAAUAAAUAUUUACAGCUAUACAGUAUGCUACUGCCAUCUACUGGCAUUCGGACGUUACUACAAACUACAGAUGGCUGCCAUUAUGUUAGUGUAAAAUGAACGGUAUCUCGGUGUUGCUGAAAUUUACAGUUGCUACUGUUUUUGUAAAAACAGCAAAAAUCUGUUAUGUUGGUGUUUGUGUGUGGAGGGAGGGAGGGAGAGAGGGGAGACCCCCCCCCCCCCUUCAACGGACCGACUGUCAGACAGUCAGUCCGCGGGUCCACUUCCUCACCACAGGGACUCUAGGCACCUGCGCCUCUAGGUCUGGUGCUCAGAUCGCAUCUGAAGAUCAGAUGCGCAGAGGCCGAGUCGAGACCACGGGAAAUACAUUAGAUGGAUGUAUACGUCAUGGUCUGAUGCAUGGAUGGAUGCAUCCGACUCAGGUCCAGGGCUGCCGUGGCCUGCAGCCGGGACCCUGGCGUCUGACCACCAGUCACCCCGAGUCUCCUCCGGUGAAGGAGAGUGUACGAAGUAAACGCAGUGAAGAGGCUC
Molecule: RNA transcript, 1838 nt
Organism: Lates calcarifer (barramundi perch)
Lineage: Eukaryota; Metazoa; Chordata; Actinopteri; Centropomidae
Gene name: interferon a3
Exons: 3
Source: RefSeq, a predicted model, not a curated record